UAAAUUUUUAUUAGCUUUUAAGCAAAUACACUUUUACUCUAUUCUGAUCACUCCCUUUAACAGAACUAAUAUGUAUGUAUGAAGCACAGCAAAGAAAGGAGAGGGAACACAUGCAAAAUUAUUUUGGGCAUCUGUUUUCCAUAUGAUUAACUCAAGACAUAUGUGCAUAUAUGUAUAGGUGUGUGUAUUUUCUAUUUGUAUACAUACAUUAUAUGCGUGUAUAUUUAUGAAUAUAGAUGUGAUGAUUUCUGUCUCUGUCUACAACUAAAUCAUUAAGAAUUUUCCAAUUAAAUGCCAAAGACUGGUGCAGUAUGACUGAAUAGUCACUCCAGUAUUUGAAAGAUAAAGAAAAUAAAAGAUUGUUUUUCCAUUCACUUCUUCAUGCUCAGCAGAAGGGGAAUUAUUUUUUGAUCAGUAAUUUCAAUUCAAAUUAAUAAUGUAUUAUACCCUUGAUAAUAAAAGAAUAAGAUUUUCUCAGGAAAUAAUCAAGUUCAAGUAUUAUCCCCUUGGUCAUUGUUCACAAUGAUGUUUUCCUUUUGACCUUCCUCCCUAAUUCCCCAUGCUUGUUCUUUGUCUAAACAAGAGGAAGAGGGGUAUCUGCUUUAGUGAUUGAGGGGAAGUGAAAUGAUACAGUUCAUGCUUCUGGCAAUGGCUGUUUUCGUAUCACUCUAGAUUGCCUCAGGUUCCUGUGAAGAAAUACACAUUCUCUUUGCCAUCUUCUGGGUGAGUAGCAAGCCAGUCCAAGCACAGUUACAGAUUACUCUCUACUCUGAACUCAUCAAAAAUCUUGAAAUCAGUGACAGCUAACUGAGAUGACAUAGGCAGUUUCUAUGAUGGUACACAAUGGCAGUGUCUCUCUCUCUCUCUCUCUCUCUCUGAGUUUUUCAUUGCUUAUUUAGAGUAAGUCAAGUGCCCCCUUGCCUGGAAAGCUUGCAGAAAAGUCCCUAUGACAAGAAACUGAAAAAGGCAUCAAAAUCGAACAACCAAUGAGAAGUGUAAGGCCUCCAAAGACUCCCCUCAUUACACCUAACCAAGAAGAACAGAGCCUACAUGAAAAAAUUGCUUCUAAGUAUACUGGAGGGAAACAAGGCUGCCUGGAACUAUCUUAGGUGAACUUCUUGACGUCAUCAUACAAGAAAGCACAAAAUCAUCAUUUCUGAGGCCCUUGGGCCAUGAACUUUUGAUGCUUUGCUUCCUUCAUCAUGAACAAUCUUCCAAUAGAGGUCAAGCACGCCUGUGUACAUGACAUCAGUUCCUUUACAUCCUGACUGAGGUGGCCAACAGUGUCUAAUGGAUAAGAAGUCAACACAGCCAUGGCAGUGAUGUGCUGUGUGAUCAUCUAAUUGGUGAAGAUGUGAGUAUUCUUGCACUCUGAAAGCAUUUGCCUCACAGUAUCAUGUACACCAAAGCAGGCAGCCUGGUGGAAGAUAACUCCAAGCACAGAUACAUUAAAAGCUUGGCAUAGUUUGGCAUAGGCCUUUAAUCCCAUCAGAUUUGCAGAACUUAACCAGGCAAUCACUGAGGCCUGCAAAUUCCCUUUCACUUCUGGCUUUACCCAUGUCAGCUGCUAGACAGUCAUAGGCAAAACAAGAGGGUGCACAAAAAACAGGAUAU
This 1614-nucleotide long non-coding RNA is filed under the name Oryctolagus cuniculus (rabbit). Its description in RNAcentral is "lncRNA (ENSOCUG00000030904.1)". The record is from RNAcentral. Lineage: Eukaryota; Metazoa; Chordata; Mammalia; Lagomorpha; Leporidae.